AACGAACGCUGGCGGCAUGCCUAAUACAUGCAAGUCGAACGAAGGCUUCGGCCUUAGUGGCGCACGGGUGCGUAACGCGUGGGAAUCUACCCUUGGGUUCGGGAAUAACAGUUAGAAAUAGACUGCUAAUACCGGAUGAUGACGUAAGUCCAAAGAUUUAUCGCCCAAGGAUGAGCCCGCGUAAGAUUAGCUAGUUGGUGAGGUAAAGGCUCACCAAGGCUACGAUCUUUAGCUGGUCUGAGAGGAUGAUCAGCCACACUGGGACUGAGACACGGCCCAGACUCCUACGGGAGGCAGCAGUAGGGAAUAUUGGACAAUGGGCGAAAGCCUGAUCCAGCAAUGCCGCGUGAGUGAUGAAGGCCUUAGGGUUGUAAAGACUCUUUUACCCGUACGAUGAUAAUAGACAGUACCGGGAGGAAUAAAGACUCCGGCUAACUCCGUGCCAGCAGCCGCGGUAAAGUACAGUGU
Molecule: ribosomal RNA, 468 nt
Filed under: uncultured bacterium
Lineage: Bacteria
Description: bacterial SSU rRNA
Rfam family: Bacterial small subunit ribosomal RNA
Source: RNAcentral